This 253-nucleotide ribosomal RNA is filed under the name uncultured bacterium. Its description in RNAcentral is "partial 16S ribosomal RNA". It matches the Rfam family "Archaeal small subunit ribosomal RNA", at positions 474 to 727 of the family's 1478-position model. The record is from RNAcentral.
UACCAGCACCCCGAGUGGUCGGGACGAUUAUUGGGCCUAAAGCAUCCGUAGCCGGUUCUACAAGUCUUCCGUUAAAUCCACCUGCUUAACAGAUGGGCUGCGGAGGAUACUAUAGAGCUAGGAGGCGGGAGAGGCAAGCGGUACUUAGUGGGUAGGGGUAAAAUCCGUUGAUCCAGUGAAGACCACCAGUGGCGAAGGCGGCUUGCCAGAACGCACUCGACGGUGAGGGAUGAAAGCUGGGGGAGCAAACCGG